This 465-nucleotide ribosomal RNA is filed under the name uncultured Klebsiella sp. RNAcentral describes it as "bacterial SSU rRNA". It matches the Rfam family "Bacterial small subunit ribosomal RNA", at positions 338 to 795 of the family's 1533-position model. The record is from RNAcentral. Lineage: Bacteria; Pseudomonadati; Pseudomonadota; Gammaproteobacteria; Enterobacterales; Enterobacteriaceae.
CCUACGGGGCGCUGCAGUGGGGAAUAUUGCACAAUGGGCGCAAGCCUGAUGCAGCCAUGCCGCGUGUGUGAAGAAGGCCUUCGGGUUGUAAAGCACUUUCAGCGGGGAGGAAGGCGUUAAGGUUAAUAACCUUGGCGAUUGACGUUACCCGCAGAAGAAGCACCGGCUAACUCCGUGCCAGCAGCCGCGGUAAUACGGAGGGUGCAAGCGUUAAUCGGAAUUACUGGGCGUAAAGCGCACGCAGGCGGUCUGUCAAGUCGGUUGUGAAAUCCCCGGGCUCAACCUGGGAACUGCAUUCGAAACUGGCAGGCUAGAGUCUUGUAGAGGGGGGUAGAAUUCCAGGUGUAGCGGUGAAAUGCGUAGAGAUCUGGAGGAAUACCGGUGGCGAAGGCGGCCCCCUGGACAAAGACUGACGCUCAGGUGCGAAAGCGUGGGGAGCAAACAGGAUUAGAUACCCCAGUAGUC